GAUUUCUUCUCCAUAAAAUCAAGACAAUUUGACAAAUAAAAAAUGGCAGGGCUCUUGCUUGACAGAUAUCACACUAUGAUUGUAUCCAGCAAACAAGGCCACAGAUCAGAUCUACAACCAAGCUCCAUCACAUCAAUGCAGAGAGAAAAGUGGAAUAUGCAAAGGAAAUAAAAUUGCCAUUGUCCUGAUAAAAUAGGAAUGCGACCAAAACCAUGAGUUGGUCUGCGUCAAUACUAGGGCCAUACCUGGAUAGUGGUCAGUUCAUAUUUACACCCAAUUGCCAGAACUAAGUUCCAUGCAUGCUACAUGUUCAAACAAAUGGAUUACAAAUUGGGC
This 336-nucleotide unclassified non-coding RNA is filed under the name Hevea brasiliensis (rubber tree). Lineage: Eukaryota; Viridiplantae; Streptophyta; Magnoliopsida; Malpighiales; Euphorbiaceae. The record is from RNAcentral.